CAUUAGAUGACUGAAAGUAAGUAAUGGUCUCUUAAACCAAACAAUAGUAGAUUAACGACUACUUCUGAUGA
Molecule: transfer RNA, 71 nt
Filed under: Stenocatantops splendens
Lineage: Eukaryota; Metazoa; Arthropoda; Insecta; Orthoptera; Acrididae
Also listed under: 1 other name
Description: tRNA-Lys
Source: RNAcentral